UAACACGUGGGUAACCUACCUAUAAGACUGGGAUAACUUCGGGAAACCGGAGCUAAUACCGGAUAACAUUUAGAACCGCAUGGUUCUAAAGUGAAAGAUGGUUUUGCUAUCACUUAUAGAUGGACCCGCGCCGUAUUAGCUAGUUGGUAAGGUAACGGCUUACCAAGGCGACGAUACGUAGCCGACCUGAGAGGGUGAUCGGCCACACUGGAACUGAGACACGGUCCAGACUCCUACGGGAGGCAGCAGUAGGGAAUCUUCCGCAAUGGGCGAAGCCUGACGGAGCAACGCCGCGUGAGUGAUGAAGGGUUUCGGCUCGUAAAACUCUGUUAUUAGGGAAGAACAAAUGUGUAAGUAACUGUGCACAUCUUGACGGUACCUAAUCAGAAAGCCACGGCUAACUACGUGCCAGCAGCCGCGGUAAUACGUAGGUGGCAAGCGUUAUCCGGAAUUAUUGGGCGUAAAGCGCGCGUAGGCGGUUUCUUAAGUCUGAUGUGAAAGCCCACGGCUCAACCGUGGAGGGUCAUUGGAAACUGGGAAACUUGAGUGCAGAAGAGGAAAGUGGAAUUCCAUGUGUAGCGGUGAAAUGCGCAGAGAUAUGGAGGAACACCCAGUGGCGAAGGCGACUUUCUGGUCUGUAACUGACGCUGAUGUGCGAAAGCGUGGGGAUCAAACAGGAUUAGAUACCCUGGUAGUCCACGCCGUAACCGAUGGAGUGCUAAGUGUAGGGGGUUUCCGCCCCUUAGUGCUGCAGCUAACGCAUUAAGCACUCCGCCUGGGGGGAGUACGACCGCAAGGUUGAAAACUCAAAGGAAUUUGACGGGGACCCGCACAAGCGGUGGAGCAAUGUGGUUUAAUUCGAAGCAACGCGAAGAACCCUUACCAAAUCUUGACAUCCUUUGAAAACUCUAGAGAUAGAGCCUUCCCCUUCGGGGGGACAAAGUGACAGGUGGUGCAUGGUUGUCGUCAGCUCGUGUCGUGAGAUGUUGGGUUAAGUCCCGCAACGAGCGCAACCCUUAAGCUUAGUUGCCAUCAUUAAGUUGGGCACUCUAGGUUGACUGCCGGUGACAAACCGGAGAAAAGGGGGGGGAUGACGUCAAAUCAUCAUGCCCCUUAUGAUUUGGGCUACACACGUGCUACAAUGGACAAUACAAAGGGCACUUAAACCGCGAGGUCAUGCAAAUCCCAUAAAGUUGUUUCUCCAGUUCGGAUUGUAGUCUGCAACUC
Molecule: ribosomal RNA, 1227 nt
Filed under: Staphylococcus saprophyticus
Lineage: Bacteria; Bacillati; Bacillota; Bacilli; Caryophanales; Staphylococcaceae
Description: bacterial SSU rRNA
Rfam family: Bacterial small subunit ribosomal RNA
Source: RNAcentral